Molecule: long non-coding RNA, 1651 nt
Organism: Panicum hallii
Lineage: Eukaryota; Viridiplantae; Streptophyta; Magnoliopsida; Poales; Poaceae
Exons: 2
Source: RefSeq, a predicted model, not a curated record
CCGCCGCCGCCGCCGUCGCCGCAGCCCUCCGCCCAUUGCCUCCACCGCAGCCUUCCGCCCAUAACCGCCUCCCCUCCCCUACCGCGGCUGUCGAGGCGCAAGAGGAGCUCUCCCCGAUCCGCUUCAACCAGCACCAUCGAGCCCCACCUCGUUUUCCUCUCCUCGCUCUCUAAACGGCCAGCAAUUUUCACUUCUCCGGGGAGCGCCGUCCAUGGUGGCACCGUUCACCCAGGCGGCUAACCCUCCUCCGCACCCGUCCCUCCCUCCAGCAGUCACCGGUUACUGCUCUGCCUCCAUAGUCCAUACUCAAGUGCCACCAGCCUCUUCCGCGAUUGCCAUCCACACCCGGCUUGCGCGGUGUCUAUGCCAGCACCAUUCAAGACUCGCGCCACGAAGAAGGCAAGCGGCACCAGCGCUGCGCGGCUUCCCUGCACCCCCUGUGGGUCCUCUUGCGCCACCAGAGCACGCCGGGAAGCGCCCAUAAAGAUGGAGGGUGUGUCGGCAUGCACUACGCCCAGCAACUGCUCGAGGAAAUGGCUCCAAGCUAAGUGCUCACUGAAUAGCUCGUGUUUUCGGGAGUUUUAGCCGAGUAAAACUUAUAGAGCUCAUUUAGUGUGAAACAUAGAAAUGUUACUCUUGAUUCAAGGGAACAUGAUGCAAGUUUUCUGACAACAUUAAGAUUCACUUUGCCACAGGAUCUCUGCCUAGCUGCCAACUUUGCCUUGCUCCCUUGGGUAGUUGGAUAGCUACUGAUAAUGUGAUUUGAUUUAAUAUGUAUAUAUUCAACGCAAGCUGCUUGGGGCUUCAUAACAUUUUACUCCAGUUCUAGGAAGUACUUAUACUACUAUUCCUGUAGGAAAUCUCCCAGCUAUAGCAAUCAAAUAAUGAAACGAAGGUCCUGCUAAUUACUUCCUACCGAAUACCUACAUACCCAAGUAUCAGACCACCUGUUAUAUUUUUCGGAUAAUUUUCGUAAGUUACAAUGCAGAAUUAUUAGGAUUCUCAUCAAGCAUUUGUGCACAAUGGAGAUUUCCAAAUCAGUUAGCACACUGGUUUCUUAGGAUUUGACCAACACAUGUUGAGUAUUUACAUGUUGCCAAAUAUUGCCAAACCCACGAAGAACAAGCUUGAGUUCCUGCCUUCUCGUUGGCACUGUUGUACAAGUAGCCUUCUGAAAUUGCAUCUGGUAUUUCUAUUGUACAGGGUAUUGAUUGUCAACUCUUGAUUUUGGCACAGGAAAUGAUUAUUUCGGCUUGACAACCUCAAUAUCCAUAGUGAAGAUUUGGUUUCUUCACUCCAGAGGUCUUAAUUUGGACUCAGUUGUCUGCUUCAUCAAAUGUCUCUCCUGCUUGCAAAAGCUGUAUAUAAUUUCUCGCCCACAGAAGAAUAUGAAAACAGUGGUCCUCCAGAACUAUGAUGGCAAGAGGCGCAUGAUGCUAACUUCGCCAAUAAAGAUUCAAUGACGUACGUUCUCAUUGAAGUUUCAAAGUAGGUAUUGUAAUACUUUCACAGGAAAUAGGUGUACCCAUGAUUUUGUGGAUGGCUGAUCCCUAUAACAGCUCCUUAUGUAAAUAUUGCAUGAGGAUUUGAUGCCCUUUCCGAAGAUUGUAAUAUAUCUUGUCUAAAGGAAAAAUUUGUUGUGUCUCCUGCA